Molecule: ribosomal RNA, 321 nt
Filed under: Triticum aestivum (bread wheat)
Lineage: Eukaryota; Viridiplantae; Streptophyta; Magnoliopsida; Poales; Poaceae
Description: partial small subunit ribosomal RNA
Source: RNAcentral
AUGAACUGGACGGCCUCUUGCAUGUGUGGGCGUUUCAUCAAGUUCGCCAUGAUGUACUGCAGCUCCGAGGCCAUUGUUUCAGUUCGUGCACCAACGAACUCGGCGCACAAGCCCACGAUUUCUCCGUCGGCGAGCCAAUGCUGCCGCCUUCAAUUGCUACCGUUGUGGUCUUCCAGGACCCAGAGGGCGAUGAGCGUGUCCACAUACGCCGGCGGCUCGCUGUCAGUUUGUAAAAAUUCAGUUUCGUCAGUUUCGUCAAAAUUCAGUUUCGUCAGUACGGUCAGUAGUUCAGUUAGCUACUUUGUCAGUAGAUUCAGUUAG